This 459-nucleotide ribosomal RNA is filed under the name uncultured bacterium. RNAcentral describes it as "partial 16S ribosomal RNA". It matches the Rfam family "Bacterial small subunit ribosomal RNA", at positions 338 to 795 of the family's 1533-position model. The record is from RNAcentral.
CCUACGGGGGGCAGCAGUGAGGAAUAUUGGUCAAUGGUCGGGAGACUGAACCAGCCAAGCCGCGUGAGGGAUGAAGGUACAGCGUAUCGUAAACCUCUUUUGUCAGGGAACAAAGGCGGGGACGUGUCCCCGGCUGAGUGUACCUGAAGAAAAAGCAUCGGCUAACUCCGUGCCAGCAGCCGCGGUAAUACGGAGGAUGCGAGCGUUAUCCGGAUUUAUUGGGUUUAAAGGGUGCGCAGGCGGUCUGUUAAGUCAGCGGUCAAAGCCCGGGGCUCAACCCCGGCCCGCCGUUGAAACUGGCAGUCUCGAGUUGGAGAGAAGUAGGCGGAAUGCGCGGUGUAGCGGUGAAAUGCAUAGAUAUCGCGCAGAACUCCGAUUGCGAAGGCAGCAUGCCGGCUCCACACUGACGCUGAGGCACGAAAGCGUGGGUAUCGAACAGGAUUGGAUACCCUGGUAGUC